GGCCAGACUCCUACGGGAGGCAGCAGUGGGGAAUAUUGCACAAUGGGGGGAACCCUGAUGCAGCGACGCCGCGUGGGUGAAGAAGCGCCUCGGCGCGUAAAGCCCUGUCAGCAGGGAAGAAAAUGACGGUACCUGAAGAAGAAGCCCCGGCUAACUACGUGCCAGCAGCCGCGGUAAUACGUAGGGGGCAAGCGUUAUCCGGAUUUACUGGGUGUAAAGGGGGCGCAGACGGCGAUGCAAGCCAGGAGUGAAAGCCCGGGGCCCAACCCCGGGACUGCUCUUGGAACUGCGUGGCUGGAGUGCAGGAGGGGCAGGCGGAAUUCCUGGUGUAGCGGUGAAAUGCGUAGAUAUCAGGAGGAACACCGGUGGCGAAGGCGGCCUGCUGGACUGCAACUGACGUUGAGGCCCGAAAGCGUGGGGAGCAAACAGGAUUAGAUCCCCCCGUA
This 446-nucleotide ribosomal RNA is filed under the name uncultured bacterium. Its description in RNAcentral is "bacterial SSU rRNA". It matches the Rfam family "Bacterial small subunit ribosomal RNA", at positions 329 to 792 of the family's 1533-position model. The record is from RNAcentral.